This is a long non-coding RNA of Melitaea cinxia (Glanville fritillary), 94 nucleotides long. RefSeq lists it as uncharacterized. The record is from RefSeq and is a predicted model, not a curated record. The transcript is spliced from 3 exons. Lineage: Eukaryota; Metazoa; Arthropoda; Insecta; Lepidoptera; Nymphalidae.
AUUGUAUGAACAGUUCCAAUAAUGUAGUAUAUCAACUUAAUGUAUAUUAUAAGUUGCUGUGAUGUUGAAAUUUCAAUAAAAAAUAGUAUUUGUA